GAGAUUUGGGAGUGCUCGCAAGAGAGCCGGAACACAGGUGCUGCAUGGCUGUCGUCAGCUCGUGUCGUGAGAUGUUGGGUUAAGUCCCGCAACGAGCGCAACCCUUGUCAUUAGUUGCCAUCAUUUGGUUGGGCACUCUAAUGAGACUGCCGGUGACAAACCGGAGGAAGGUGGGGAUGACGUCAAGUCCUCAUGGCCCUUAUGGGUAGGGCUUCACACGUCAUACAAUGGUCGGUACAGAGGGUUGCCAACCCGCGAGGGGGAGGCUAAUCCCACAAAGCCGAUCGUAGUCCGGAUCGCAGUCUGCAACUCGACUGCGUGAAGUCGGAAUCGCUAGUAAUCGCGGAUCAGCAUGUCGCGGUCGAAUACGUUCCCGGGCCUU
This 382-nucleotide ribosomal RNA is filed under the name uncultured Rhodocyclaceae bacterium. RNAcentral's name for it is "bacterial SSU rRNA". It matches the Rfam family "Bacterial small subunit ribosomal RNA", at positions 1003 to 1382 of the family's 1533-position model. Lineage: Bacteria; Pseudomonadati; Pseudomonadota; Betaproteobacteria; Rhodocyclales; Rhodocyclaceae. The record is from RNAcentral.